This 348-nucleotide unclassified non-coding RNA is filed under the name soil metagenome. RNAcentral describes it as "partial contains 5.8S ribosomal RNA, internal transcribed spacer 2, and large subunit ribosomal RNA". The stretch from base 1 to 120 matches the Rfam family "5.8S ribosomal RNA", at positions 35 to 154 of the family's 154-position model. The record is from RNAcentral.
GAUGAAGAACGCAGCGAAAUGCGAUAAGUAAUGUGAAUUGCAGAGUUCAGUGAAUCAUCGAAUCUUUGAACGCACAUUGCGCCCGCCAGUAUUCUGGCGGGCAUGCCUGUCUGAGCGUCAUUUCAACCCUCAUGCCCCUAGGGCGUGGUGUUGGGGAUCGGCCAAAGCCCGCGAGGGACGGCCGGCCCCUAAAUCUAGUGGCGGACCCGUCGUGGCCUCCUCUGCGAAGUAGUGAUAUUCCGCAUCGGAGAGCGACGAGCCCCUGCCGUUAAACCCCCAACUUUCCAAGGUUGACCUCAGAUCAGGUAGGAAUACCCGCUGAACUUAAGCAUAUCAAUAAGCGGAGGA